Molecule: long non-coding RNA, 357 nt
Filed under: Homo sapiens (human)
Lineage: Eukaryota; Metazoa; Chordata; Mammalia; Primates; Hominidae
Description: HSALNT0102236
Source: RNAcentral
UGGGCAGAGGAAAUGUGGAAAAAAGAGAGAGGUGUCACAUGCCAUUCUUCUGAUUUUCAUGAAUAUCCUCUAAAAGGCAGCUAAGCACUCGCUGUCUUCUUCCUUUUGCCUCAUCAAGCACGGGGGACGCUGGAAGGAAGAGGCUCCAGGGACCUACCUGACUUCCUAUUCAUGCUGAUCCCACUGAGACCCUUAUCAACCCUGACCUGUUCCCCAUGUGCCUCUUGGAUCUGCCUUAUGUUCCAGGAACUAACGUUCACUACAGAGAACUUCAGGUUGCAUCAGGGAACAUAUAUACACAGCAGUCGUAUUUGUACAGUUGAGCCGAAAUGCCUGUUCUAACAAAGAGAGCCUGGG